GAUGAACGCUGGCGGCGUGCUUAACACAUGCAAGUCGAACGGACCUUCGGGUCAGUGGCGGACGGGUGAGUAACGCGUGAGAAUCUGCCCUCAGGAGGGGGAUAACGGCUGGAAACGGCCGCUAAUACCCCAUAUGCCGCGAGGUGAAAUGAAUUUCGCCUGAGGAUGAGCUCGCGUCUGAUUAGCUAGUUGGUGGGGUAAAGGCCUACCAAGGCGACGAUCAGUAGCUGGUCUGAGAGGAUGAUCAGCCACACUGGGACUGAGACACGGCCCAGACUCCUACGGGAGGCAGCAGUGGGGAAUUUUCCGCAAUGGGCGAAAGCCUGACGGAGCAACGCCGCGUGAGGGAUGAAGGCCUCUGGGCUGUAAACCUCUUUUCUCAAGGAAGAAGAUCUGACGGUACUUGAGGAAUAAGCCACGGCUAAUUCCGUGCCAGCAGCCGCGGUAAUACGGGAGUGGCAAGCGUUAUCCGGAAUUAUUGGGCGUAAAGCGUCCGCAGGCGGCCCUGUAAGUCUGUCGUUAAAGCGUGGAGCUCAACUCCAUUUCAGCGAUGGAAACUACAGGGCUUGAGUGUGGUAGGGGCAGAGGGAAUUCCCGGUGUAGCGGUGAAAUGCGUAGAUAUCGGGAAGAACACCAGUGGCGAAGGCGCUCUGCUGGGCCAUAACUGACGCUCAUGGACGAAAGCCAGGGGAGCGAAAGGGAUUAGAUACCCCUGUAGUCCUGGCCGUAAACGAUGAACACUAGGUGUCGGGGGAAUCGACCCCCUCGGUGUCGUAGCCAACGCGUUAAGUGUUCCGCCUGGGGAGUACGCACGCAAGUGUGAAACUCAAAGGAAUUGACGGGGGCCCGCACAAGCGGUGGAGUAUGUGGUUUAAUUCGAUGCAACGCGAAGAACCUUACCAGGGUUUGACAUCCUGCGAACCUCCUGGAAACGGGGGGGUGCCUUCGGGAGCGCAGUGACAGGUGGUGCAUGGCUGUCGUCAGCUCGUGUCGUGAGAUGUUGGGUUAAGUCCCGCAACGAGCGCAACCCACGUCGUUAGUUGCCAGCAUUCAGUUGGGCACUCUAGCGAGACCGCCGGUGAUAAACCGGAGGAAGGUGUGGAUGACGUCAAGUCAUCAUGCCCCUUACAUCCUGGGCUACACACGUACUACAAUGCUACGGACAAAGGGCAGCAAGCUCGCGAGAGUUAGCAAAUCCCAUAAACCGUGGCUCAGUUCAGAUCGUAGGCUGCAACUCGCCUACGUGAAGGAGGAAUCGCUAGUAAUCGCAGGUCAGCAUACUGCGGUGAAUACGUUCCCGGGCCUUGUACACACCGCCCGUCACACCAUGGAAGUUGGCCACGCCCGAAGUCGUUACUCCAACCCUUGUGGAGGAGGACGCCGAAGGUGGGGCUGAUGACUGGGGUGAAGUCGUAACAAGGUAGCCGUACCGGAAGGUGCGGCUGGAUCACCUCCU
RNAcentral lists this ribosomal RNA (1456 nucleotides) under Cyanobium sp. JJM10D5. RNAcentral describes it as "16S ribosomal RNA". It matches the Rfam family "Bacterial small subunit ribosomal RNA". Lineage: Bacteria; Bacillati; Cyanobacteriota; Cyanophyceae; Synechococcales; Prochlorococcaceae. The record is from RNAcentral.